Molecule: long non-coding RNA, 2310 nt
Organism: Leopardus geoffroyi (Geoffroy's cat)
Lineage: Eukaryota; Metazoa; Chordata; Mammalia; Carnivora; Felidae
Exons: 5
Source: RefSeq, a predicted model, not a curated record
CAAAAAGUUAAACAUAGAAUUACUACAUGACCCAGCUCUGAGUCAUAUAACCUAGAAGACUUCCACUUCUGGGCAUAUACUCAAAAGAAGUGAGAACAAGUUUCAAGCAGAUACUUGCACACGCACGUUUACAGCAGCGCUCUCCACAAUAACCAAAGGUGGACUCAUCCGUGGACACUCGCAUGGAUAUACCAAAUGUGGAAUAUACCACAGUGGACUAUUUGUCCAGCCUUAAAAAGAGAGAAAAUUUGGACACAUGCUACAACACGAAUGGAUGACCUUUGAGGACAUUAUGCUCUGUGAAAAAAGCCAGACACCAGACACAAAAAGACAAAUGUUGCCUGAUUCCACUGAUAUGAACUAUCCAGAAUGGGCAACUUCAUUGGGACAGAAAUUAGACUAGAGGCUACUAGGUUCUGGGUGGGGGCACCGGAGAGUUAUUGCUUAAUGGCCACAGAGUUUCUCUUUGGAGUGUUGAAAUUUCUUGAAAAUAUGGUGAUGGCUGCAGAGUAUUGUGAGUGUAAUUUGUGUCACUGAAGGCUACAACUUUGAGUUUACCUCUCUUCGUCCCCGAGGCCAGGGGCAGUGGAGUAACUUAACAGGAGUCUGGAGUCAUGUAAAUGGAAGGGGCAGGAUUUGAGCAAGAUCAGUGUGGGCAGCCUCCCUCCAAGAGGCCAGCAGCUGUAGUGAAGUGCUUCUCACACCUUCCUUGGAGUGCCAUUUGCGGUUCUGUCACUAAAGAGAAAGGACCCCCUGAAAGUGAGAGGAGGAAGAGGUAGGAGACCGAUUUUCUCAUGGUUGAACCUUCUGUCAACGUUUUCGGAAAGAGCAGGGCGCCGUUCAUCCCCAGGAAGGUGGUGAGGCCAGCACAGUACAAGACAUGACAGGAUGAACUUCUGGAGCUCUGGCAGAACCAGUCUCACAUUCCUGGGGUGGAGAACGGAGACCAUCAUCCAUACCUCGCAGCGUCCUUGUGAAGGAAGAGAACUUUACUAUUCUUAAGAUCUUGACCUCCUUUACAUCCAGAAAACCUUUGUAGUUUUAAGGCUGAUGGCCUGUCAUGGCACAAAGAAGCAGAAUGGAUGUGUUCCAUUUUGGAGGCUUGAAAAGGGCCCAGUGGCCUGAGCCUGCCAGUUAGCCCCCGGGGGCUGGGAAUAACAAGCGGAGUGACAUUGAAAGUAAAUUGUUCUACUUAAAGUGUUGAAUCUUAACACAUCUUUUCCUGUGGCUCCAGAACUCUCUUUUUCUAUCAGGCUUUGUGGCUUUUAUACAAGAACCAGAAUUGAGGGCCAGGCCACACCCUGGACAGUCCUGGCCACGUCCUAGCCACUGACCCAUAAGUGACGGGAAUUAUCUGUGGAUUGUCUUUUUCGGGGAGAUGGGGUGUGACUACAGUUCUGAUCAAUGAUGCUGGUGACACUUAUCUUUAUCCAAAGAGACAUAUUAGAAACUUAGUGCUGUGUGGCUCCAAAGGGAUCCCAAUCUUUCUGGGAGAAAUGGCUAAGUCAAUGAUGAUAUAAACAGAGAAUGUAACAUUUUGCUCUAUGAAAAAUCCUACUUUCGAAGCUUUCUUAUUGACAUGGGAAAAUGUUAACAUCACAUCCAUUCUGAUAAUCCACACCGGUGCCUCUGCGACAGAACACCAGCCGAUGAGAGAGGAACAGUAGCACAAACAGGCCACGCCCGAAUCUUCUGGAAAUUACUCUUUGGCUGGUUUCCAUCCCAUAGCUAAUUGGUCUGCUUUUCAGACCUUGUGAACCAGAAGCGAUGGCCCCAGGAUCACGAACUUCGCAAUUGGAAGCUCAGCCUGUCUUGGCACAGGGGGAGAGCCUUUGCUCCACAAACCAUGGAUGAUCACUCCUACUGGGAAGUCCGGGGUCAGCAGUCUGGGGUCAGGGUUUCAGGUUGGGCUCAGUGAUCAGGGCUUCAGGGCGUAGGACCCUCGUGCUUCCUGUACAGGCUGGGGGCAGGGGCCCUACCUUCCUGCCUCCUCACGCCAAGUCCUAAGGUCAUGCCCAGGUCUCUGGACCCCUGCCCUGUAUCUGGUAAGGGACUUGUUUCUAGAAUAUGUAAAGAACUCCUACAACUUAAUAAUAAAAGGACAACCCAAUUUAAAAAAUGGGCAAAAUAUCUUAGUAGACACUUGUCCAAAGAAGAUAUACAAAUAUAUAAGCACAGGAAAAGAUGUUCACCAUCACGAGCCAUUGUGGGAAUGCAAAUCAAAACCACAACCAGAUACUAAUUCACACAGUAGGAUGGUGAUUAUUAAAAAUCCAGAUAAGGAGGGGCACCUGGGUGGCUCAGGUGGUU